CAGAAGAUCCUGAUCAGAGCUGAUCUCAUCGGCGACAAGUGCAAGAGCAAGAUCCUGGCAACUGCUGCCAAGCUCAAGGGGAUCAAGUCCAUGGACAUUGACCAGGACAAGUGCACGCUGACGGUGGUCGGCACCGUCGAUCCGGUGCGGCUCCUGCAGUGUCUCAGGAAGUCGUGCUUCGCCGCAGUUAUCAUCAGCGUCGCAGACGACAAGCCAAAGGAGCCAGAGAAGAAGAAGGACCCCUGCCAGGAGGCCUGCGAGAAGGCCUGCAAGGACAUGUGCGAGAUGGCUUGCAAGGAGGCGUGCUGCAAGAAGUGCGACAUGGCUUGCAAUGAGGCGUGCUGCAAGAAGGUGACGCCGUCCUGCUACCCGUCCCGCUGCACGCCGGGCUGCGACUCCAGCCCCUGUGGCCUGCCCAGCUGCCGCUUCUACAUCUACGGCUGCGUCGUGCGCAAGCCGCCACUGGGACACGGCUGCAACAAGGGGAGGUCACGCGGACUCAGAGGAGAAUGCGGCAUCCAGUAG
Molecule: ribosomal RNA, 525 nt
Filed under: Triticum aestivum (bread wheat)
Lineage: Eukaryota; Viridiplantae; Streptophyta; Magnoliopsida; Poales; Poaceae
Description: partial small subunit ribosomal RNA
Source: RNAcentral